UUUUCAAAGGCCCAUGUCGGAUAUCGCGCUACGUAGGAGAAAAUGCACUCUAUCUAGUGGAUCCAGAGAAUGCAGAAAACGAAAUCGAUAUGGCCAUUGAGCUUUUAGAAAAGCAAAAUCAGGGGCUGAAUCCGAGCGACUGGGUCGUCGACAGGGGCAGUGGAAACAGGGACGCUUGGAGCGCCCACGUCUCCUGUCUGAAGGCGAUCCUCUGAAGGUCCUAAAAAAGUGCAGCUUUAGACCCUUCGGGAGGGUGAAGAAAAACGAAAUGAGCAAGAUGUUCCGGGCUUACUCAACGAUACCUCCCACACUACGAAAUUGUUCCGAACCCACCCAACAAUACCGUACGCAUAUCGAAAGUGUUUCGAACCCACUCUAUAACUCUACGUAUUAAAGAUAAGAGGUUGUAUGUGUCUGGAACAAUGAAUACUGAAAGAAUAAAUUAUCACAGUAGCUAAAAGAUUGAA
Long non-coding RNA from Venturia canescens, 467 nucleotides. RefSeq lists it as uncharacterized. NCBI's taxonomy places the organism in Eukaryota, Metazoa, Arthropoda, Insecta, Hymenoptera, Ichneumonidae. The transcript has 3 exons. The record is from RefSeq and is a predicted model, not a curated record.